RNAcentral lists this long non-coding RNA (3421 nucleotides) under Strigops habroptila (Kakapo). RNAcentral's name for it is "lncRNA (ENSSHBG00005006849.1)". The record is from RNAcentral. Lineage: Eukaryota; Metazoa; Chordata; Aves; Psittaciformes; Psittacidae.
AGCGAUGGUACAACUUGUCCUCCCAGAUCCAUCGUCCUACAAGUAGUCUCUUUCGACACUCCUCUGAGUGAUGAAUCCAACUCAGAAAAAUGCACUAACUCUGAUCCGAACCAGAAAGAUCUCACCGAUGCCCAGCAAGAAACACAGAAUACAGACCCACUGAAUGGUGAGCCUAAACACUGUAAGAAGUCAGAAGAUAUACUAAAAGCCACGGAGCAGAAAGAAGCACUGAUAGAGAACUAGAUUUGACAUUUCAUAAAAGCUUCUGACAUUUCAGACAGGACAGGAGAAAAGAACUCUAGCUGUUCCUACCCUGUGCUCUCAGAGGCUGUUAUCUGUCAGCUUGUACUUGGAUCAUUCUGUUUCUGUGGAGAGUGAUUGGACAAAAUGAUCAAGAGUGCAAAAUAUAAAACCCUGCGCUGGCAACUCAAGGCACUUAACAACUUGCAAGAUUUCAGUUGUAUUUGUUGUUGCUAUUUCCUCUUCUGUACUGCUUUCUUAAACUAGCCAAAAUAAUUCUUCUGCCAAAGUUGGACAUCGCUUUAUUGCAUCACUGACACCAGACAUUUCCAGUUAACCAUGAGCUGUUACAUGUCACUGCUACUGGCAUCCAAUGCAAAUGGGAAGUCAAAAUGAAAUAUUAUUAUAGAUACUUGUUCAUGCAACCAUGCUGCAUGCAAAAUAAAAGUCCUACUUGUUAGCUUCCUUAACAUAUCUGGAAAUAAAAAUAUGUAGACUGCACAGGGAAGUUGUGGAGUUAUGCUGACCAGCCUGCAUGGCUGUCAUAUGGAGAUAACUGGUGUUUAACAAAUCAAUAUUUGAAAUAUCUCUUUAAAAUUAAUUCAAUAGCAUCCAAUAUUAAAAUUCAAACAUUCUCAGCCCUACAGUAUUUUAGAAGACAUCCAAAAUGGUGUCAGCCCUACCAUGAAGUUGGUGCUUAUUGUUUUGUAGGGCGAAAGAGACAAUGACAAAUAUGAAAAUAUAUGUCAUGUGAAAUUUUGCUUCAGUUCAGCAAAAUAUUGUGUUGCCUCUCAGGCAGAACUGUAAGGUGACUCUGAGGCCUCAUAGCAUGGUUUGUCUCAAAUGCAGUGUGGAUCCUCCAAAAUCUUUGCUAGUGUUUGUCUCAUUAAAAGAAAACACCAGGCCAACUUUCUCUGAGAGGCUGUGAAAGCAGAGCACGCAGGCAGUUACCUCUGCAAGAAGCCUCAGAAUGAGCCCUCCAGCCCAAACUGUGUUCAGCAAGAGAGAACUUUCAUCUCCACUUCCCUCAAGCUACAUGUGACCCCUUCUGGCUUGCCUGGGCAUCUCGUGCAGCUGCAGGCAACCUCAUUUCCCUCUGCUGGAACCUGCCAGGAAACUUGCACGCUCCCCUUUGCAUUGUAGGCGCUCAGGAGGCUUGGGUCACUGCAUUCACAGUUCUCCUUUUUGGACCCUGUGGUUAUUACCUCACUGACCGAAAAUGUCUUUACUAUCAGCCAUGGUCCACUCUGAAGAGGACUCAUGGGGAUGGUGACAUUCCCCUCUUUGCAGAGGCUGAUGAAGGAUUGAGACCUAUGUGCUAUUCAUCUGCUGCUUCAGGGAUCUUACCAGAGCUCAACAGGCAUCAGGCUCAACCUCAACAGGGGCACACUUUGUCCCGAUCGAAGAAGGAAUCGUAAAACCUAGACUGAGGGAUCACCCUAGACUGAGGGAUCCUUACACAUCCACACCUGGUGACUGUCUCCUUCCUGACAGUGGAGAAAUUGAGCUGUGGACAGUGCAAGCUCCAAGCCCUGCGGUAAGGGCAUGCCAAAAGGUGGAAUUCCUGUCAUUGAAUAUGUAAGCCAUAUACACACUAUGUAUAAGUAGUGUGCAUAGUUUUAACUUAAGAAAUGGUUGUGCAUAUAGGAUGUAAAAAGUGCAUUUAAAUUGUUUUGUGUAUCUGGUCCAGGGCUUGUAUUUAGCAUGGACAAAUUCUGUACAGUGCAGUUAACGAAUGAAAUGUUAACAAAUGAAAUUGUAUCAUAUAUGUUAUAAUGCAAUCAAUAUUUUUUGCUAAGAGUUAAGAAUUUAUAUAUUCUCUGCUAGUGUCUGAGCAAAUCAUUAGUAGCCUGGACCACUCCAUGCACCUUGCAUCCUUUUGGGGAACGUUGGACUCUUUUUCCGCCCCCCCCCCCCCCCUUCAAUAAAAUGUAAACCAUCUUAUGGCUUCUUCUUGUCAUUAUGACAAGAGAAGAAACAUAAUGGUCAUCGCAGACUUCUUUUUAAUUGUAAAUUGUAUAUGCUGUGGCAGUGGAAAAUCUUCUUGUUUAUGAUCUGAGAAUUUGGGACCUUAUUUCAGGUAUGCUUAGCAUCUGCAGUUCCCACCAAAUUUGAAAAGAACAAAAGAUGACUGAUAUCUUAAAAAACUAGGCCAGUUAGGUAUCUGUUACAGAGUGGUCUUCAACAUUGUAAUUUAAUGUUCACUGAGACUGAAAGUCUGGAGCAAUCAGAAUUUAACAUUUUUAUAGUAUUUUGAAUUUCAGACUUUUACGAUAGCUGAACUUGACUUCUUUUUCUGUGUCUCUGUCCCAUCAUGAUUUAUAUACUCUGCAAGAUUUUCUCCUGGAAAUACAAGCAGAAUUUAUAACAGAUUCUGCAGAGUACUCGGAGCAUCCUGUGGGGCCUUCAGUGUCCUGUUAUCAUAGCUGUCACCAAGAUCUCCCACUGCAGAAACUAGGAGCUCCUGAUCUCACAGGAGGUACUCAUUGCCUGCAGAACUCAUUCAUUAAUAUAGAAAUGUAAUUUGUGUAUAAAUAAUCCUAUUUGCUCAUUUGUAUUCAGUUUUAAUCACUGUGGUAGAUGUUGCUGAAAUACAAGAAGAAAAGUCCUUAGUUUUUCUUUAAUGCCAGCUGAUUCUCUUUCUUUCUUCCUUUGUUCUUAGCAAGACUUUACCUGGACGUGACCCAAAGCUUAGCAUGUUGUUUGGAUGAGGAGGAAUUUUCUCUGGUGGAGAAGGCUGAUAUUGCCAACAUGUGUUAAUUAAGGCUUUGACCUUGGGUGAAAUUCACGUUCAGGUGGCAGAAACGCCUCUUGAGAGGGCCUCUCCCUGAACAACAGUUUAUCUUUGAAAUCUGUAAGGCUGCGCUACCAAAACACUGCAUGGGGCCAUAAAAAAUGGUGUUUGUAUAUGCAUCUCUCCCACAGCAUUAUGGGCAUGUACCCCUGCAUUGAGCACACUGAGGAGCUGUAGCUAUAGAUUAGCCCUCAAGAGUCUUAUUUUGUAUUUUUAUCUUGAGAUAUCUGACAGAUAUAUUAUGUAAUAUUGUUAUGGGUUAUGAUCUGACAGUAUUUUUUUAUUUAAUUUUCAACAAGGCAAUCUAAAACUGUGUGUUUUUAUUCUGCUGUAUUUGUCCGUAUUUCUUAUGACGAUAUUCCCAAAUAAAUAUGAUUUGAGGGCAAG